GAUGAAGAACGUAGCGAAAUGCGAUAAGUAGUGUGAAUUGCAGAAUUCAGUGAAUCAUCGAAUCUUUGAACGCACAUUGCGCCCGCUAGUAUUCUGGCGGGCAUGCCUGUUCGAGCGUCAUUUCAACCAUCAAGCUCCUUAGCUUGUGUUGGGGACCUGCGGCUGCCGCAGCCCCCGAAAUGCAGUGGCGGGCUCGUUGUCACACCGAGUGCAGUAAUCAUUCUUCUCUCCGGGCGUGGCGGCGGGUUCCGGCCGUAAAAUCACCAAUUUAUCAAGGUUGACCUCGGAUCAGGUAGGAAUACCCGCUGAACUUAAGCAUAUCAAUAAGCGGAGGA
RNAcentral lists this unclassified non-coding RNA (335 nucleotides) under soil metagenome. RNAcentral's name for it is "partial contains 5.8S ribosomal RNA, internal transcribed spacer 2, and large subunit ribosomal RNA". The stretch from base 1 to 120 matches the Rfam family "5.8S ribosomal RNA", at positions 35 to 154 of the family's 154-position model. The record is from RNAcentral.